UCUUGUUGAAGUUCUAUUAAGUUCUAAGUUCUAUUAAGUGUUCGUUGCUGAUGUUGAUGUUGUUAUAGUGUUUUCUCAGUUACCUUCCAAGAGGGAUCUCAGGCAACUUGACCUUCAAGUGGUGACGUGCAGGAGCCCAACUGGCUGCCGGCUCUGCCACCCUCACUGGUGGACAAGAACUGGUGGCACUGGAAGCAGGGACCCCAAGGGUCUGCUAGGCCACAGGCCACGUGCAGCAGGGUCUGGGGACAAGUGAACUCAGGAAUCGGAGUCAGGGAGCCUAGGCUGACCUUACUUCUUCAUCUGCAGGACGGAGAUUCUCCCAUGACCUUGAGAGGGUCUAGUGAGGAUCAGUGAGAGGACUGUCACGUGGUCAACACUGUACUUGAGUAUCUGCUUCUCCAUCUGUCAACAUAAAACCCUGCAGAGCCAUUGUGAGGACAAGAUGAUGUAUGGAAAGCUUCUAGAAGAUGCCACGUGCACACACCACAGCAGCACAGACGCCGUGCCUGGUGCUGUGGCAGCCAUCUUGGAACGACGAGGUAAGUUUCAUAAUGCAGGAAAGUCAUCCCAGUGAGGAUGCUGAACAGCCAGAACCACGGCCUCUGAGCUUCGAAACCAGACUUCCGGGCAAGUCAACCACAGAUGUCCUUCAAGUUUAAGCCGCCGUAAGUCUGAUAUUCUGUUUCUGAAAGCUGAACAUCUCCCCUCGGACACAAGACUGAUGUUUUUAUUAACAGUCUCCUUCUAAACCUCAUUUGUGGGUGAGUGGCAUGGAUUGAAUAGUUGCUAAAGUAUCUUCAUAAUAACAAGAAUGACAUUUAUUGAGUACUUAUGGUGCCAUGUGUUAUGUGUUUCACUCAGAUAAUCUCGAAUAAUCUUUGUAACCACUCAGAGAGUUCAGUUUUCUUACUGUUUCCAUUUUACAGAUGGUGGAACAGACACAUAGACGCAAGCAGCUUGCCCAAGGCCACACAGCUAGAAAGCAGUGUGGUCAGGCUGAGAUCCAGGCCCAGCAGGCACUGCCCACACCUGCUGCCUUCUCCUCUAACACUCCCCCAUUUGAUCACAAAGAAUAGUGUCCAGAAGGCCGUCCCUGACACCUACUGAGUCUGUCUGUGACAACUGGGGGGGCUCCAUGUCCAUCCCCCACACUCAAGGUCAACCCCCCACAUGGCUGGUCCAGCCCAGUGAGGGGGAAGGGAGAGAGGGGCUUACCUUGCCCAUGUUGAAGUAGAAGAGGGCCCCAGCCGUCACCUGGGCAAUGAGGAUCAGGAGCAGGAAGGCAAAGUACUGGGGACACAGAGCAGGCACAAAGUCAGCUGUGGGUCCCCGACCAGGUGCACCCAGCCCGCAUGCCUCGGGAGACGCUCUCCACCCGGCGUUACGGCCAGCGACGUGCUCAGGCUGCACUCGGCUGGAUGAGAGGAAAUGGGCAUCAGCUGCGGAGGGAUCCGUACUCACCAGCCCCAGCAGACAGCGGACCUCAUUGACGGCACCAAUGCAGCCCAGGAAGCCCAUGAGCAUGGUGACUGCCCCCACGCCGAUGAAGACGUAGGCCCCCAUCCUGAGCGAGCUGGAGGAGGUUUCUAGGGGGAAGAAGAAGCACACUCACUAAGUACAAAAUCAGUGGGCCCAGCAGGACCUGAGGUGCAUGAGGGCAGAAGCUUCGCUGUAUUCCCAGGAAACCCUCAGCUCGAACAGCGCCUCUGGCAGUGAGGUGCUGGGCACAGUGAGGAUCUGCGGAAUUGACAGACAAGGGGCUGGCUCCUUCUCCAGGGGCCACGGACGUUAAGAUUGUAAGCUGAUUUUUAACCCGCCUUCCUUCUUGUCCAUAUAAUAACAAACACCAGCCUUUCUUGCCCACUCACUGCGCCUUAGGGGGUUUCUACACGCCGUCUCCAAUUCUGACAUCACCCUGCCUGGCAGGCACUAGCAGGGCCCUUUCACAGAUGAGAAAACUGAGGCUCAGAAAGGCGCAUAGGCAAGGGCCUGAGCUGGAAUUUGAAAAUAUGCAAACCUCCAAUGCCACACCCUUUCCGCUCAUGCACAGGGCACAUGUAUUGCUACAGGUGUGAUGCAUGUUCAUUCAGCCAACAAAUGUUUACUGGGUGCCCACUUCAUGCCAGGCACCGUGCCAGUUGCUGGGGAUGCAGAAGAGUGACUAACAAGGUCUGACAUUUGGGGGUGGGGAGUGGAGACAAAAAGUACACAGUACAGGUUUUCUGGUUGUGUUGGUCGCCAUGAAGAUACCAAAGCUGACUCAUUGCAGAGAACUGCCAGUCGGGGAGAGGGUCGGAAUGGGUCGAGGAAGGCCAGCCUGAGCCAGUGACAUUUGAGCCAAGACGUGAAUGAAGAAGUCAGCCAAGCAAAGAUCUGUGGGAAAAGCAUUCCAGGAAGGGGGCACAGCAGGUGCAAAGGCCUGAGGAAGGAGGAGCUGGGUGUAUUUGAAGAUUGGAAAGAAGGCGAGAGAAUGGACCAGUGAGAGCAAGAAAGGAGCCCGGGAGGAAAUGACGCUUCGGAGGUGCAGGAAUGGGCCUGAUGGCUAAGACCUUCUUUAGAGUCACCUGUGGACAGGCCCAUUCCGGGAGGCGGAGGUCAGGAAUCCAGCAGGGGCACUUGGCCAACAUUUCCUAAGACACCCAACCCAUCACACAGGGUAAAGCUCAUGUCAUCUCUAGCUCACCAGCAUGGGUACGCUGUACCCCCAGCAGAGGACACACCUGGAGGGUGAAGAUGCUGGCAUCUCCAGAAGGCUGGAGAGCAGUGUGGAUCAGAGGAGCCUCUUAGGGAUGCAGAUGCUUGCGUCCGUUACAACCCGACCAAGAUGCUCCCAGCAGAAGGCCAAGGACCUGCGUUUUUAACCUGCGCCCCUAAGCACUGAGGCACAGCCAGGACCAACCCCUUGACUAUCAGCAGGGAGAAUACAGGCCUGGGGCUGGCCAUGACUCCCUGGGGAUCCUGGAGAGGCUGAGGUCCCCACCUUGGUCCCCAACAGGCGUUAUUGCCCUUAAGGAAUAACGAUCAAGCUGGAGGAUGGGAGGGAGUCUGUGGGAUUCAGCUCCGCUUCCUGAUUACAGACAGAAUGUUCUGGAGCUCAGGAAGAGCUCUGGCCAGCCCACCCUGCUCUCAGGCUUCCUCCACCCAGUUCCUCACAGGAGCCCCCCACCUUCCUCAGGGUGAGUGUGGGGACCUCCUGGCACUGAGCCCCAGCCACCAGCGUGCGCAGGGAGAGGCUGUCAAUUCCACUUUGCCUAAACUUCCUGGGUUUGGCUUCCAACAAUUUCUCCCAGUGACUACUCCCAGAAAAAAGAAACCGGCACUGCCCAGACAGCCACUGUGUGCCAGCCCCAAACAAGGCCCUUUAUCCAAAGCAUCCUGCCUAAUUUCACCAACCGCCCUCUGCGGCUGUACUCACAUCCUGAUUUGUCUGCAAGGACCCCGAGGCUCAGAGAGGCUAGCAGGCUGUAAGCUGCCUGGCAGGCAAGGCCCAGGGCUGAGACCCCAACUCAGAUCCUUUCCCUGGGAGACCAGACGAACUGCGAGGUCUCCGUAUCUCAGAACAUUUCACUGAUGCCUUUCCCUGUCCCCCCAGGAUCCCAGGCCUACCCCACAUCUGAGCAAGCUGACUUAGGAAGUAGGUGACGGUAUGUUCCGGGGUAGGCCAUCCACAGGGCAUGGCAAAAACAAAACAAAACAAAACACCUUUUAGUCUUCCUGGGCCUAGAAGGGACCAGGAAGGUAGAAAGGAGGUGGCCCAAACAGAAAGGGACGAGGGAUCAAGAAAAGUAGAUUCUAAUCCCAGCUCUGCUGCCAACACGCUCUGACCCUGGCAAGCCAUUUUCUAUUUCUUUCUCUGUAAAAUGGGUCUAAAGCCUGCUACUUGAAGAUGGCAAAAGGAUUAAAUUGUAUUAUAAAAUGUAGCUAACCAUCACGUAUGUAGGGUUUUUCACUGGUGCCUGUCCUAAACUCUUUUCAGAUAAAAACGAGAGGCUCAUUUAAUUUUCUCACAAUAACCACAGAAAGUCCUCAUUUUAUAGGUGAGGAGGCACAGAGAGGUGAAGCAAUGUGCUGAGGGUCACACAGCUAGUGGACAGCACAGCCGCGAAUCAAACCCCAGCAGUCAGGCUCGAGUCUGCUCUUCACUGCAGAGUGCUUCCUCUUACUAAGGACCAAAGCUCUUGGAGUUCGAGUCCCACACCCACCAUUUAGAAGCUGUGUGAACUUCAGCAAGGGACUUAACCUCUCUGAGCCUCUGUUUCUUCAUUGGUAAGGCGGGAAUAGAAACGUAUCUACCUCACAGGGCUGUGGUGGGAUUAAGACAGUUUAUCGGUACAAACUGCUUGGCACAUGAGGAGCAUGAUAAUUGGUGACUGUGCCUGGAACCUUCCUCAUCCGUGCACACACCUGACCCACCGAGCUGCUGCCGGGCUCAUAGCGAAGCACCACUCACAGCAGGUGCUUCAUCAGCCCCCGACUAUCUUCCUUACAUCUCUAUGAAAUGGGAGGGACUGUUGUCUACGUUCUGCUGGAUGGGCAAGUGAAGGAACAGAGAAUAUAAGAGGCUUUCCUAAGGUCAGGGCCAAGGAAAGGGGCCAGGAAGAGAAAACAAGCCUCCCUCAUCUCCAGUGUUCCCCCAGACAACAGCAGCUUUGUUUGGGGAAGAAGAGAAAAUUCCUUUUGGAAACCCUUGCAGAGAAGAGCCAUGGGCAGUGGUCGGCAGCAGGACUUGGCUACAUCCCUGAGGUCAGCAGGAAAAGCAACAGGCAUUGAAGCCGAAGCACUGAUGGGAACAGCUGUGCCUGCGCCCUGGCCCUCCCUUCUCCAGUGAGCCUGGUUCUGGGGAAGCUGAGGGGUUCUUACGCAGGACAGAGAUGAAACUGCUCUUGUCGGCCAGGAUCCACACCCCGAAGCCCAGAAUCACUGCGCCCAGGAUCUGGAAGGAGAAUGGAGCCGUUAAUGGGGAGCCAAGCCAAGAUGGGGUGAGAGCCCUCCCCCGCCAGCUGUCCCUGCAACCCAAGUCAGAGUGGGCAGGGCAGGGGGCCACAGAGGGUACCACCUCUACCCUUCUCCAGCCCAGGGAUGUCCAGAUGGCCUCAGGUCCCACACCGCAGCAAGCCAGACACCAGGACCCUGGGCAGGGAAUCCCUCCUACCUCCCAUCUUGCCCCGCUCCACCAUGUGUGAUUCAGCCGAGCCUCCUGGUGCAGCCUCUUGCCAGGGGCGCCCUUCCUGCCGCAUCUCCUGGCCCUUUUCUCAGCUCAUCCCCCCCACUCCACCCAGUUCAGGGCCUAGGAGCUUCCCAAAAAAGAAAAGCUCUAAGGAAGACCCUCCGUGGACUUGAACAUCAAAGCCCAACUCAUCCCCAGGUCUGAACAAUGGGGCCACCUGCCACAGGAGCCUUCUCUGACCCCCUCAGGCAAACUCAGGUGCCCCCAUUCUGCUGCAACCACUGUCCGGCCCUUCUUAGUCAUUCCCACUGGGUCUAACUACUGUGUUAGUUUAUCUGGUUAGACUGAGAGCUCCCUGAGGGCAGGGCUGGUUGGAGACAGCUCUGUAUCCUCAGCAGCUCUAUAGCACUGGGUGCUAAGCAGCUGGGGGAAUGAACGAGCUCAUGAACCAAACUGCAAAUGCAGGACUAGAAAGGAAAAUGAAGGUCAGGCGUGGUGGCUCACGCCUGUAAUCCCAACACUUUGUGAGGCCCAGGCAGGAGGAUCACUUGAGCCCAGGAGUUUGAGACCAGCCUGGGUAACAC
Macaca mulatta (Rhesus monkey) is the source of this 5754-nucleotide non-coding RNA. NCBI's taxonomy places the organism in Eukaryota, Metazoa, Chordata, Mammalia, Primates, Cercopithecidae. The record is from RefSeq and is a predicted model, not a curated record.